RNAcentral lists this ribosomal RNA (406 nucleotides) under uncultured bacterium. RNAcentral describes it as "partial 16S ribosomal RNA". It matches the Rfam family "Bacterial small subunit ribosomal RNA", at positions 30 to 526 of the family's 1533-position model. The record is from RNAcentral.
AUUGAACGCUGGCGGCAGGCCUAACACAUGCAAGUCGAACGCGUGGCGGACGGGUGAGUAAUGUCUGGGAAACUGCCAGAUGGCUGGGGAUAACUACUGGAAACGGUAGCUAAUACCGCAUACCAUCGGAUGUGCCCAGAUGGGAUUAGCUAGUAGGGGGGGUAACGGCUCACCUAGGCGACGAUCACUAGCUGGUCUGAGAGGAUGACCAGCCACACUGGAACUGAGACACGGUCCAGACUCCUACGGGAGGCAGCAGUGGGGAAUAUUGCACAAUGGGCGCAAGCCUGAUGCAGCCAUGCCGCGUGGAUGAAGAAGGCCUUCGGGUUGUAAAGUACUUUCAGCGGGGAGGCGGUACCCGAAGAAGAAGCACCGGCUAACUCCGUGCCAGCAGCCGCGGUAAUAC